This is a long non-coding RNA of Dicentrarchus labrax (European seabass), 2471 nucleotides long. RefSeq lists it as uncharacterized. The transcript has 4 exons. The record is from RefSeq and is a predicted model, not a curated record. NCBI's taxonomy places the organism in Eukaryota, Metazoa, Chordata, Actinopteri, Moronidae.
CAAACUGUGGAUUCUCCUUGCACACAUACACACGAUUCACACACGUGCACUUUAUUCACACACAGGCAGAUACAGAGUGAUUUAUGCAUGUGGGAGGUGGACGUGAGGAACAUAACGUGAGGACUAAACUGAGCUCAGAGACAGUCUGACAUCACAGGGCCUGAAGGUUCACUGAGGCACGAGGCGUCUGCCUCAGUAUGACAUGCAGUAUCCUCUGCUAUCUGACUUGUUGUCAUGCCCUGGUGUAAAAGUCUCUCUCACUCUCUCUGAUAAAAAAGAUGGACGUCAAUGAGGCUGUUUGUCUGUCUUAUCAGUAGCUCUUCAGCUCAGAGGACCUGUUUCAAAGGUUUCCACGAUUACAAAGGUUCACUGUUGGCGCAGGGGUCGAACUGAUGUCAGGGGUGAGGACGGAUUUCUAGAAUCAUGAGGAAAACUUUUGCAUAAUCGGAAUGGGCCAGCUGGAGGAGAGAGAGAGAGAGCGUGCAGGCCUUCAAACGGAGCCAAGCCAGGCUGGUCCAGGUCUGGACAGAGCAGACUUGAUGAGCAGAGCGAGGAAAGGCACCAGAGGGGUUCUAUGACGAAGGGGUUUGCGUGCAACGAAGGAUCAGUUUCUCCAGUAACAUAUGAAGACCAGCUGAGACAAACCUCAAAUGACCUCGAACAGCAUGCCUCCUUAUGAUGGGCCGCAGCUAAAACCCGACGUGGAACCGGACUCCAGUAAAACUAAAUAACAAAACAACAACUGGAGUGGAGUCGUGUCGGGCUGAAAUAGCAGAAAACCACAUGGCAUUCAUUUGCUAGCCCUUCAGUCGUCAUAAAGGCGAGUGACAGUUUGACAAAUCUUUGGAAAUUCGUUGUGUAUUUGCUUAAGAAUUAAAUAUUACAGUGGCGCAGACCUUUGAAACGUUAACUAAUUCGAGGGAAAUAAGGCCCAUUAGCAAGAAGUGUGUUUGUAUUUAUAGUUUUUAUAAGUGAAAAAGGAAGAAGGAAACCAAACUGAAAUCAUUUAAACCCCUUUCUACGAAGAGCUAUUGUCUUUUACUGAAAGAGGGAAGUGACACUGAUUUUAUGUGAAGUGAUGUGCGUGUUGGUGGCUACAAAUAAACACAUAUAUAGUAUUUACUAUUACUCAUAUAACUGAUUAACUCUUUCAAUCAUUUUCAAGGUAAAAUGUCAAGCUUCUUAAAUACAAAUAUUUGCUAUUGUUUUCCUUUUUAUGACGCGGUGCAUUUAAUGUUUUGUGGGUUUUGGACUGUUGGUUGGAUAAAAAAAGUGAUUCGAAGAUCUCAUCCUGGGCUUUAGAAAAUGUAGAUUUUGUAGACUGAAUAAUUAAUCAGUUAAUCCAGAAAAAAUUAGUAGAUUUAUCAAUAGAGUUGCAGCUGUAUAUUCAGUUGGAUAGAAACCAAGUAUGAUUACUUUUGUAAGUCAAUGCAGAUUUCCUAGACACACAAGGUCAAGAUUAACUAGGAAAACAAAUAAGCAAAAACUUAAAUGAACUAUACAGAAUGAGAAUGUUUUACAGCUAUUUUGGGGCAAAUCUGGCAAUUCGGCCCCUUGAAGACUCUUGACUCACACUGUUUGCUCUCGACAUCAGACGUGGAGGGAUUGUUUUCCAGACAUCAUUGACAUCAUUACUUACAUUGUGGGAUAAGCGAAGAUGACAUAAUUGGAUGGAGCUGUGGAUGACUGCAGACAGAUUGACAAACAGCCCAAAGUUUGGUUUGCUCUCACGAGAGUGAGAAAAAUGGAACUGUACUGAGGAAAAGUUUAUCGCAGUAGUUACAUUUGUUUGUUUUUUUUUGCCUUGUAGCUAUCACAUCAAACAUAAUAAAGAAUCACAAAAAACACCUUUAAGAUCCCCAUACAUCUACGGUAUAAAUAACCUUCUGGAUUCUUCUGGAAGUUGUCUUUCAUAUAUUCUAUAUGUGGUGAACAAUUACAGCAGUUUUUCUCUCACAUGGUAAUUGAUUGGCUUACAAAGCAGAUAUAAACGAAGGCAGGAAUUUGAAUUUAAUCAACAACUGCUCUAUGAUCUGGUUUUCAUAAAACUCAUGACCUGAACUGACAUUUGUGCUCUUUACGUUUCUUGCUGGCCUCGAGCUUAGUCAACCAAUCUCACUGAGAGGACGCAAAGAUACUGUUGGAAGGUUUGUUUACAAGCCACAAAAUGCAACAGACCUGCCAUUUCAGGGCCGAGACAAUUUUGAAACAAGGUUGAUGACGUGUUAUCUCAUUUCAAGUUAGCUCUAUCGACAUAAUAAAGAAUGAUGUUAAUCUUGUUUUGAAAUUAAUAUUCACACUUGACUACGUUUGUUGGUUGAAAACUAAUAGAGAACCAAAUCAAAUAGAGGAAUGAAAUUUACAGUUGAAGACCUGAUAACAUCGUAAUGACUCAACCAACUCUUUGCACAAAGCCUCUUCAUAUACAAGCAUGUCUAAACAAACACAAACACCUCCACAGGAGCAAGUGG